AUGCUCACUUUGGCAGCACAUAUACUAAAAUUGGAACAAUACAGAGAAAAUUAGGAUGGCCCCCUGCACAAGGAAGGCACAAAUUUGUGAAGUGUUCAUGUCUUUA
Molecule: small nuclear RNA, 106 nt
Organism: Manis pentadactyla (Chinese pangolin)
Lineage: Eukaryota; Metazoa; Chordata; Mammalia; Pholidota; Manidae
Source: RefSeq, a predicted model, not a curated record